Molecule: ribosomal RNA, 393 nt
Filed under: uncultured bacterium
Lineage: Bacteria
Description: partial 16S ribosomal RNA
Rfam family: Bacterial small subunit ribosomal RNA
Source: RNAcentral
AUACGGAGGAUGCGAGCGUUAUCCGGAUUUAUUGGGUUUAAAGGGUGCGUAGGCGGACGAUUAAGUCAGCUGUGAAAUGCCCGCGCUUAACGCGGGAAGUGCAGUUGAUACUGGUUGUCUGGAGUGCCGUUGCCGUGGGGGGAAUGUGUAGUGUAGCGGUGAAAUGCAUAGAUAUACCACAGAACGCCGAUUGCGAAGGCAGCUUACUAAGCUGUUACUGACGCUGAGGCACGAAAGCGUGGGGAUCAAACAGGAUUAGAUACCCUGGUAGUCCGCACAGUAAACGAUGAAUACUCGCUGUUUGCGAUACACUGUAAGCGGCCAAGCGAAAGCGUUAAGUAUUCCACCUGGGGAGUACGCCGGCAACGGUGAAACUCAAAGGAAUUGGCGGGG